GAUGAACGCUGGCGGCGUGCCUAAUACAUGCAAGUCGAGCGAACAGACGAGGAGCUUGCUCCUCUGACGUUAGCGGCGGACGGGUGAGUAACACGUGGAUAACCUACCUAUAAGACUGGGAUAACUUCGGGAAACCGGCGCUAAUACCGGAUAAUAUAUUGAACCGCAUGGUUCAAUAGUGAAAGACGGUUUUGCUGUCACUUAUAGAUGGAUCCGCGCCGCAUUAGCUAGUUGGUAAGGUAACGGCUUACCAAGGCAACGAUGCGUAGCCGACCGGAGAGGGUGAUCGGCCACACUGGAACUGAGACACGGUCCAGACUCCUACGGGAGGCAGCAGUAGGGAAUCUUCCGCAAUGGGCGAAAGCCUGACGGAGCAACGCCGCGUGAGUGAUGAAGGUCUUCGGAUCGUAAAACUCUGUUAUUAGGGAAGAACAAAUGUGUAAGUAACUAUGCACGUCUUGACGGUACCUAAUCAGAAAGCCACGGCUAACUACGUG
RNAcentral lists this ribosomal RNA (497 nucleotides) under uncultured bacterium. RNAcentral's name for it is "partial 16S ribosomal RNA". It matches the Rfam family "Bacterial small subunit ribosomal RNA", at positions 28 to 507 of the family's 1533-position model. The record is from RNAcentral.